RNAcentral lists this long non-coding RNA (2005 nucleotides) under Carica papaya (papaya). Its description in RNAcentral is "long non-coding RNA (CPAP_LNC005731)". The record is from RNAcentral. Lineage: Eukaryota; Viridiplantae; Streptophyta; Magnoliopsida; Brassicales; Caricaceae.
UCUGGGAUGAACAUAACAUCAUACGUGAUCAGAGACAAAGAAGAAGAUGACUUCUAUAACAAGCCAAGAGACUCAGGUCACACUUUUUUCUGCUUUUACAUCCUCUACUUUUUUCAUUUUUACCUCCAGUGCUUUUGCCUUACCAGAAACUCUAAAUUCUUAGAAAGCAAACAGAGGAGCUAUGUAGAUAGUUGUUAGCCUUAAAACAUAUUGAAUCUUGCUUUUUUUAGAUAAAUAUGAUAGUGGUAGGUUAACCCUCAUAAGGGCUCUGUUUGAUGAUGGUUGACAAAGAAGUAGAAAAUACUUAACAUGACUCUUUAUGCUAGAUACUAAUAAAAUGGUUGAGAAUAUAUUUGUCUGUAUACUGGAAAGAAAAUUCAGCUGUUCAUUCUCCAAGUGAGUUCUCAUUCAAUAUGCUAUCUAUUAAUUCUCAAUCAAUUCUUAUUUUAUUCGUUAAGUAAUAGACUAAUCUAUAACAUCCUAGAAGGAGCAGUUGCUGCUGGAUAGGUUCACUGGGAAAACCUACUAGCGUAGGUCUCACGACGUAGACAAAGGAAGGUUAAUCCUCGUAAGGGCUCUAUUUGAUGAUGGUCCACAAAGAAGUAGAAAAUACUUAGUAGUCUUGAUUGAAUUUGGAUACUAAAGUGUUAUAGGUCAUCCUCUCCAUUCUUGGGAGGAUUUAGGGAACCUUGUAAACAUUUUAUUAAAGUUUUAAAUAAUAUGUAUACAGGUUGCCACCAUCUCGGUACCUGUUAAUAUAAUUUUACUUUUAUUUCAAAAAAAAAAAAAAAGAAUCCUGGAGUUACAAUAGGAGUCUAACUAUGAUUAGCUCCCGUAUACAUAAAGUUAUUAUCAUUAUCAAUAAAAUCAUUCAUCAUGAAGUAAAGUGAAUCAGGGUUUAUAUUCUAGCACCAUUGACAGUUCUCUUCAGCAAGCCUCGUUGUACGUAAAAUUAGAUUAUAAUUUUCAAAAGAGGCCUCAGAGGUGACAUGAUAGUUGCUUAAGCUUUGAUUUGUUAUAUCGGAUGGUUGGAUAAGCAAUUAUCCCAAACAUUUAACCUGGUUGAUAAAGCAAAAAACUGUAGAGCAACCUUUUUAUAAGGAAAUUCAAGUAACUUAAUUAUAUAAUGUCAUCAGAGCUUUUUUGUUUACUGAUAGAUUCUUUUAGCAGUUAAAAACAUUCAAGUAGCACGUAUACAAGUCUUGACAAUAAUUAUAGCACUAAGUUUAGAAUUUUUACUUAAUCAACUAAGUUAGGCUUUUGAGAUAAUUUCUUAUCAAAUCUAUAUUUGUAUGUAUUUUGAUGUUAAACGAGUUGAAAUCAUUGAUUUAGACUACGGAGACCUUAAUCUUAACCGUUCUUUCUUUCAUGAUUUUUUUAUGGAUAAACCAGGAUUCAUCGUUAAAUUAUCGGGCGAAAUCCUCAGUAUUUGCUCAAAUAUAGACUCAAGCCUAGACCAUGCAUAAUUACAUAUAAAAUCUAGAGUUGCAUUGGAGGGGUAAUUGAAAAUCGGAUAAUUAUAUGUGCAUAAUUACAGUAAUUUUUUUGGGGUUGUUUCCUAAUCUUUUUUUUUUUUUUUGUUGUUGCAUAACAUGCAGAUUAUAGUUGAAUGUAUAUAUCAGCAGAGGCGAUUUGAUGUUGAGGUGGAGAGAAUGAUGAUUAGGUUGGAUUGAUGUUGCACCAAUUUUGGUGGAACAGGACCACUUUGGACUUUUUAGGGUUAAUCAGAAGGGAAAGGUUUGGUAAAAAUUAUUCCCUCUUACUUCCUUUUUCUCAGCUACCUUUCCUCAUGGACUUGGAAGAAUGUAAUUGUUACGGGGUUUCAACUAAGCUUCCUUUCAGCUUAUGCUCUGUUUGUUCAUUUCCCCCCCCCUGUAAAUAGAUAUCUUUUGCCUUGUGUUGUUUUGUUAAAUCUAUAUAUAAGUAAAAUUGGCAAAGAGUAUGUCAAUUAACAUUUUCGUAUGAAUAAUAAAAAUUUAAAACUACAGGAAAUGAGUUAUUAGAA